GACUCCUUUUAGUUUGCUUAUACUUUAAAGAAAGGCCCAGCUAACUAUUGACAACACAAGUAAAGAUUGCUCUAGCUUGUUCCUUGCCAAGUGCCACUCCAAGUGCCAGGGGACAGUGUCUGUUGGGGAGCAGGUGUACUAGGGCAAUAUACCUAUCAAACCAAAAUGCAGACUCUGAGGGUGAGUCCAGGGAAGAUGGAAAUCUCCUGUGGAGUAGAAGGGUAAAAGCUUACCUGAUCUUAAUUUUCAUUUUUUUUGUGAAAGACAGGCCUUACGAUAUUUCUGACUUUUUGUUCAGUAAGCAGGAGAUGUCAAGGAUGACAGGGAGGCCAAGUGCUUAUAAUGACGCAAAACUGAAAAUUUAAAGUUUAAAAUUGCUUUUUCAUCUUUGUGUCUGCUCUUCUUUUCAGUGCGAGGCAGAAUUCACCGAGCUCUGGAUUGUUCCCCCACUAACAGGGAAUGUGAUUUGGCUUUUGGCUGUUGUAAGAAAGGUUAGUU
RNAcentral lists this non-coding RNA (498 nucleotides) under Phoenicopterus ruber ruber. RNAcentral describes it as "Eukaryotic large subunit ribosomal RNA". It matches the Rfam family "Eukaryotic large subunit ribosomal RNA", at positions 2504 to 2988 of the family's 3401-position model. The record is from Rfam by way of RNAcentral. Lineage: Eukaryota; Metazoa; Chordata; Aves; Phoenicopteriformes; Phoenicopteridae.